UAACAGCAGAGAUGAGCUGAGAAUGAAUCAGAACGUGCCCUGUAGUGACACUGAUACGUUUCCUGAGAUAAGAGAUUCAUCCCUUGAUUCACUCAUUCAGCAAAUAUGACUGAGCACCGUCUCUAAGCAGGACAUUUGCCUUGUCCUCAGGGAGCAUAGUUGGCAAGGAAUCUAGACAGCAGCCCUUCUUGAGCUUGACAUUGAUCUUCUCAUGAGGAGGACUGGGCUCCAGAUCUUCCUGGGACCAGGUCUUCAGGACAGUGUGAGCUAGGUGCUCUGGGCUGAUGUCAUUACAUUUGUAACUUCCAUGCCCCCCAAAAAUGUUUUGAAGACAUUCAUUUUAUCAAAAUACAACAUACAUGCAGAAAAAUGCCCACAUUUUAACUUACGGCUUGAAGUGAAGUUACCCACGCAACACCCACCCACAUCAAGAAGUAGAACAUUCCCAGCACCCCCAGAAGCCUUCUUGAGGCCCUCCCUGCUCUUCCUGCCCCAACCAAG
Pan troglodytes (chimpanzee) is the source of this 501-nucleotide long non-coding RNA. RefSeq lists it as uncharacterized. The record is from RefSeq and is a predicted model, not a curated record. The transcript has 4 exons. Lineage: Eukaryota; Metazoa; Chordata; Mammalia; Primates; Hominidae.